This is a long non-coding RNA of Sinocyclocheilus rhinocerous, 372 nucleotides long. RefSeq lists it as uncharacterized. The record is from RefSeq and is a predicted model, not a curated record. The transcript has 3 exons. NCBI's taxonomy places the organism in Eukaryota, Metazoa, Chordata, Actinopteri, Cypriniformes, Cyprinidae.
CGCACCCCGCGACGGAAGCUCGGAAACCUCGGCUAUUCUCCACACAGCCCACACCACGGCAACUGCAAUGAAGCAUCAAGAAAGACAUGAGCAUGCCAACCACCCUGAGACUGAUAAUUCAGGGAACACAUUUCUGACUCACUAACAAAGUGGAUGGUGAGCAAAGGUGGUGGCCACGUUUUGGAGUUGCACCUGGGUUUUGCAGAAUUAUGCUAUGUAUUUCUUUUCCCAUUUUGUUUCUGUUGCCUAAAGAUUAUGUGUGAGGAUAAAUCCAGAGAAUACAACAUAAUGCACUGCAAAAUGUCCUAAGACAGGAGAAAUGGUGAAGAUUAACUGUUCCAGCAUUGGAAGAAUGUAAUUUUAAGUGUUAUA